This 386-nucleotide long non-coding RNA is filed under the name Trifolium pratense (red clover). RNAcentral's name for it is "long non-coding RNA (TPRA_LNC005195)". The record is from RNAcentral. Lineage: Eukaryota; Viridiplantae; Streptophyta; Magnoliopsida; Fabales; Fabaceae.
AUAGGCAUCUGUUAUGUUUUGAAUAGCAGUUACAUAGAGUCAAAUAGUUGUUCAAUAAGUAGAUUCUUCGAAGGAGACACCAACAUGUUGGUUUGCGGUCAGGGACUCAGACGCUAUAAGUAAGUUAAUAGGGAUUUGAUUUCUAGCUUUUUCGCAUUAGAGAAAACUUAGUUGUGAGGGGGAAAACUCACUUUGUUUCCCAAAGUAUAUCACAUAUGGUUAAUGUUGUAAAUAUGAUAUAUGGUAUUCAGUAUUCACAUAUGAUAGAACUCUUAUAGGAAGAGGGUUAUUACUUUUCGGACAAGAUAUUAGUUUAGUGAAUGUACUAUAUUAUGAUUUUUAAAUAAUAUAUUUAAAACACCAUUUCCCAAUUUUACAUGGCAUCA